This 483-nucleotide ribosomal RNA is filed under the name uncultured bacterium. RNAcentral's name for it is "partial 16S ribosomal RNA". It matches the Rfam family "Bacterial small subunit ribosomal RNA", at positions 30 to 507 of the family's 1533-position model. The record is from RNAcentral.
UGACCGCUGGCGGCGUGCUUACCACAUGCAGGUCGACCGGGAUCCAAGGGGUGCUUGCACUUUUUGGUGAGAGUGGCGAACGGGUGAGUAACACGUGAGUAACCUGUCCUUUUCUUUGGGAUAAGCAUUCGAAAGGGUGUUUAAUACCUUAUGUUCUGUCUGCCUCGCAUGGGGUGGGUGGGAAAGGCUUUGGCCGGAUUUGGGUGGGCUCGCGGUCUAUCAGCUUGUUGGUGGGGUGAUGGCUUACCAAGGCUUUGACGGGUAGCCGGCCUGAGAGGGUGGUCGGUCACAUUGGGACUGAGAUACGGCCCAGACUCCUGCGGGAGGCAGCAGUGGGGGAUAUUGCACAAUGGGCGAAAGCCUGAUGCAGCGACGCCGCGUGGGGGAUGAAGGCCUUCGGGUUGUAAACUUCUUUUGCUCUGAACAAGGCAUGCCAGUGGGUGUGUUGAGUGUAGGGGUUGAUUAGCGCCGGCUAACUACGUG